GUCCACACCAUGGAGUCGGAAAUGCCCCGAAGUCAGUGACCCAACCGUAAGGAGGGAGCUGCCGAAGGUGGAGCCGGUAAUGGGGUGAAGUCGUAACAAGGUAAC
This 105-nucleotide ribosomal RNA is filed under the name uncultured bacterium. Its description in RNAcentral is "partial 16S ribosomal RNA". The record is from RNAcentral.